RNAcentral lists this ribosomal RNA (110 nucleotides) under uncultured bacterium. RNAcentral describes it as "partial 16S ribosomal RNA". It matches the Rfam family "Bacterial small subunit ribosomal RNA", at positions 355 to 479 of the family's 1533-position model. The record is from RNAcentral.
UGGGGAAUCUUGCGCAAUGGGCGAAAGCCUGACGCAGCGACGCCGCGUGCGGGAUGACGGCCUGGUUGUAACCGCUUUCAGCAGGGACGAGGCCGCAAGGUGACGGUACC